GUCUCAAGGAGUUUCUAGCAACAAUAAAGCAAUAUGUUUUUCUUGUGAGGUCAGCUGAAGAUGCAAAUAUAUUUCUUGUCAAUGACUUACAAGAUCCGCUCCAGAGAACUCUUUCUUCCUUGGAGCUUCCCGGGGCCGUUUCUGUUGCCAACAGUCCAACUUCAUCUAUUGCACCUAGUAAAUCUUCAUUCAGUCGGACAGACGGUGAAGCCCUUGAUAAGAACUCCGCAGUUAUU
This 236-nucleotide unclassified non-coding RNA is filed under the name Hevea brasiliensis (rubber tree). Lineage: Eukaryota; Viridiplantae; Streptophyta; Magnoliopsida; Malpighiales; Euphorbiaceae. The record is from RNAcentral.